AGUAUGUCGCAACAAGAUUUCGUCCUUGUGAUUGGGGUUUUAUUUUGUUCUGCUAUACUAAUAGAACCCGGCUAAUUUUGCAUCAGGUGAUGGGUAUGGACGUCGAUGCGCUCUAUGUAUCUCAUAUCCAGGUGAACCAGGCUCAGAAGCAGAGGCGCCGCGCCUACAGGGCUCAUGGAAGAAUCAACCCGUAUAUGUCGUCUCCUUGCCACAUCGAGUUGAUUUUGUCAGAAAAGGAAGAACCCGUGAGGAAGGAGGUAAGAGUGUGGUUCCAUCUUUUACAAUGUGAACGGCAUAUAAGUUGCCUUGUCGAGUCAUUUUCUUAGAUGCAAUGUUGGUCUUGCAGCCGGAGACUCUGUUGGCAACGAGCAAAUCUAAGAAGUUGCAAGCUUGAGGCGGCGCGGGAAACUCUUUCGAGAGACGGCCCUCGUUUUUGCUUUUGAACUAUUUGCAAUGGUAGUAGUCAGGAGAUUUGCUGUCACCCUUUGGUACGUGAGGAACACUAUUUCCCCAUACGUAGUAUGUCCUAGUCCUCAGGGCUUGCUCUAUUGAAUAUUUUCCAGGUUCUUGGUCAGGACAGUCAAGCGAGCUAUGUACGUGUUCAGGGUACUUCAAACUAAAUUGUUUCCUCAAAUCAAAAUCAGCAUCGCUGUUUUCUUCA
Molecule: long non-coding RNA, 661 nt
Organism: Syzygium oleosum
Lineage: Eukaryota; Viridiplantae; Streptophyta; Magnoliopsida; Myrtales; Myrtaceae
Exons: 2
Source: RefSeq, a predicted model, not a curated record